ACUCCAGCUCUCCUCCUCACCCUCCCACCCCAGCAGUCUAUUGUCUGUUGAGGAAGCCCAAGUGCACGUGACUGAGCCCAAGGGACGAAUGGAUACAGUGGACUCCCAGAUGCAUAAGGACCCAGGACAGGGUAUCUGGACAUGGCUGUGUGAAUGUUUGGCUUGCUCUGUUCCAGCAGCUCUCCCAGAAGUUGGGAGGGGUGAAGAUCCCCUUGGGCUGUCCAUUCUUGGGUCCAUGGCUUGAAGAAGAAUCCCCUUCUGCUCACUAUGAACACGGCUUAUGACCUCGCAGAGAGCAAAGAUAAGGAGACCCAGAGCCAGGAAAAGGCUGCAGCCCCCAGGAUCCUCUCCACCUUCCCAUCCUCCCUCAGCUGAACAUGGCAGCCUCAGAAGGAAAGGGCUUCACUGAAGAUGAUGAUUUGCUCAAAGAGGAAGACACGCCUCUCUCGACCUCGGGAAGACAGCAGCCCUCCAGCCUCAGGCUCGGUGACCCAGAAAGUGUCCUGGCUCAAGAGCUUCCCCUGAGCAGUCAGUUUGCCCUGAAACCAAAAGGAUAGCGGCCUUGGAAAAAGAACAAGAAAAAGGACAAUUCUCUGCUCCUCCCUUCCUUGCCUGACAUGCCCAACCAACCAUGGGGUCAGACCCAGGAGAAGACAACUCCCCAUAAGGACCUCCUGAGUGCUAGGGCUGGGGCAGAAGAGCAUCGGGCCUCCAGUUUCUUGCCCUAUCUCCGUACCUCAAAUCCCCGCAAUCUCCCCAGCGUCAUCAUAUCGUUGCAGCGCUUGGGCACAAAGCACAUGACCUCCACAGCUUGCUGGGACACACACAGUUCACUCAGGACAUACCUAGGAUGAAAAUAGGAGGAGGCCCCCACUUCAGCGUUGGAGCUCAUCCUUGGUUCUGCCCGUUCCUCCCUCCUCUCCUUUAUCAUCAUAGCCAACCUUGGAGGAAAAUCCAUCUAAAAUGUGAGGGACAGUCUUCUGGAAGUUGUGCAACUGCAGGGAAGGGCUGUGGACACUUACAUACUCCUUUCCAGAGCCUUCUUCUUCUGUUCCUCCUCACUCUCAGGGGCUUGGGACAAAGUCUCCUCUUCAGGUGGCUGGAAGGAAAGAACAUCCUAGGGUGAGCAAACGAAUGCCCCUUGAGUGAAAGGAGCCUCCCCAGAGCCUGUCCUCACACCUGUGUCUUAUCUCCAGGGCCCUCCAACAAUGUGGUCAGCAAGGUCAGUUCUGGCAGCUCCUCUCCUGUGGCUAGAGCUGGCUCCAACAACCAGUUCUGGGGGCCAGAAAUCAAGUGUCAGAGGUCAGGGACAGUAGCUGGGUGGCCCCAACUUGCCCUCUCUGCCAGUGUCCUUCAUAGAUGUCCCACAUGCUUUGGUGCCGUCCCCUGCUCACCUCAUAUGGUCCUGCCUGACCACUGUCUGCCUCAGUUUCCACACUGAGACAAUGUUUGGAAUGAUCCAACCAUCUCCUCAGGCCACUGACGGGCCCUGGGGGGCCUGGGGAACAGGGGCCAGAGCUGAGGCCAGAGCUGGGGCCAGAGGGGGCAGCCAGACCGGAGGCAGCAGAAGCCGAUAUACUCCCCUCACUGCCCGCAAUGGAAUAGGAUUCUAAUGGGAGGAAAAAGAGAGGAGGUGAUAGACCUUGCCCCAGCUCCAGACUCACGGCCCCCAGGGAACUCCCAGGGUCUUCUCUUCAUGAUGCUCAGCCUCUCUCUCCAAGGGCUCACUCUCUUGCCAUCCUCAUUUGAGUUGGCCAGGAUAGAAAAUUUCACCAGGGCACCCCUGGGAGAAAGCACAGUAAGGUAAACACCUGGCUCUCCAGGCCUGGAACCCCCAGUUACAUGUGGAGGUUCCCCAUAUCCUGAGCAUAGCAUAGAUAUGGGGGUGGGGGCAGCCAUCUGGGCAGACAUUGGAAGCUGGGGGUGGCCAUCUGCUUUCCUACAACCCUCCCCCUUUCAAUGGGUACAGACCAUUCUCUGUGAAAGGGGGAGGAUGAGCUGGGUCCAUCUGCCACUCCCAGUCCCCUCCUCCACCAAUUGCAGUAAUCACUAUAAAAAGAAAAGACUUCUGCAGCCCACCUCCCCAACACAUGUGUAGACCCAAUAGAGGAGGCCAGUGAGGAGGGUCCAUCAGGGUUAUCUUUGGCCUGUGCUCAGCGACAGAGAGCUGUGAUUCCUUACAAAGCCCCUUGUAGAACCA
RNAcentral lists this non-coding RNA (2200 nucleotides) under Pongo abelii (Sumatran orangutan). The record is from RNAcentral. Lineage: Eukaryota; Metazoa; Chordata; Mammalia; Primates; Hominidae.